UUGUUCUUCCAGCAAACUUAGAGAAUUCAUCAAGCAGUAGGAAGACAUCACUAAUGAAGCUAGAAAAAAUUCAGCAAAAUUUAGAGGAAAUUGUGCAACAGAUGCUUCUCUCCCUUGUGUUAGGACUUAGGGUAAAAUCAGCAAAAUAGAGAUUCACAAUUGUGCAUAAUUCCCAGAUUUGUUAGAGGAAACUUAGUAGGUAGAGAUACAGACAUCUCUGUAUUCCAGCUUAUAAAGAGUUGCAGCAUAAUUCUCUUAUAAAAUUAAGUAGGUUGGAACAGCUGAGGCGAGGUGUGGAGGACCACAUGCAUGUGAAAAUCGAAUGAAUCACUAAAAAGACUCAUGGAUGAGUUAAAGAAUAAUUGUGAACGCAUGGAUGAGCUAGAGAGUAAAUAUGAAAAACUUACAAGAGUAUUGCUUGGUCAUCCUUCAGCACCACCAUCAUCAAGUGAUAAAUAGAUGGUCCCAUUCAACAGGAAACACAUAAUUUUCCUUAUAACCUAUAGUUUCUGUUGACUCAAGCAUUUGAAUAUGUUGUUCAAGAAUGUAUGGAGCAAGUUGAAGAUCAAGAGUGCUUUUACUUUGGUUAAGGGUGUCAUUCAAGAAAGUACGGAGAAAGUUGAAAAUCAAGAGCGCUUUUACUUCGGUUAAGGGUGGUCGAAAGACAAUAUUUUGUUUUAUAUAUAUAUGUUGUAACUUUUUUCUUGUUAGGAGUUGAUAAAUAUAUGUCAGACCACUUGAUAUAUCUUUCUUUAUUUAGUUUUUG
This 766-nucleotide unclassified non-coding RNA is filed under the name Hevea brasiliensis (rubber tree). Lineage: Eukaryota; Viridiplantae; Streptophyta; Magnoliopsida; Malpighiales; Euphorbiaceae. The record is from RNAcentral.